Molecule: ribosomal RNA, 439 nt
Filed under: uncultured bacterium
Lineage: Bacteria
Description: partial 16S ribosomal RNA
Rfam family: Bacterial small subunit ribosomal RNA
Source: RNAcentral
CUACGGGGGGCUCCAGUGAGGAAUAUUGCACAAUGGAGGAAACUCUGAUGCAGCAACGCCGCGUGGAGGAUGACGCAUUUCGGUGUGUAAACUCCUUUUAUAUGUCAAGAAAAUGACGGUAGCAUAUGAAUAAGCACCGGCUAACUCCGUGCCAGCAGCCGCGGUAAUACGGAGGGUGCAAGCGUUACUCGGAAUCACUGGGCGUAAAGGACGCGUAGGCGGGAUAUCAAGUCAGGUGUGAAAUCCUACAGCUUAACUGUAGAACUGCACUUGAAACUGGUAACCUAGAGUAUGGGAGGGGGAGAUGGAAUUAGUGGUGUAGGGGUAAAAUCCGUAGAUAUCACCAGGAAUACCUAAAGCGAAGGCGAUCUCCUGGAACAUAACUGACGCUAAGGCGUGAAAGCGUGGGGAGCAAACAGGAUUAGAUACCCGUGUAGUC